UGAAUCUAGGUUAGCAGACUGACCCUAGC
Molecule: non-coding RNA, 29 nt
Filed under: Mus musculus (house mouse)
Lineage: Eukaryota; Metazoa; Chordata; Mammalia; Rodentia; Muridae
Source: RNAcentral